RNAcentral lists this ribosomal RNA (268 nucleotides) under uncultured bacterium. RNAcentral describes it as "partial 16S ribosomal RNA". It matches the Rfam family "Bacterial small subunit ribosomal RNA", at positions 91 to 354 of the family's 1533-position model. The record is from RNAcentral.
CGGACCGGCGCGACGGGUGAGUAACGCGUAUGACCAACCUACCUAUCAGGAGGGGAAUAACCCGGCGAAAGUCGGACUAAUACCGCAUAAAACAGGGGUUCCACAUGGAAAUAUUUGUUAAAGAAUUAUCGCUGAUAGAUGGGCAUGCGUUCCAUUAGAUAGUUGGUGAGGUAACGGCUCACCAAGUCCACGAUGGAUAGGGGUUCUGAGAGGAAGGUCCCCCACACUGGUACUGAGACACGGACCAGACUCCUACGGGAGGCAGCAG